GACGAACGCUGGCGGCGUGCUUAACACAUGCAAGUCGAACGGUAAGGCCCUUCGGGGUACACGAGUGGCGAACGGGUGAGUAACACGUGGGUGAUCUGCCCUGCACUUCGGGAUAAGCCUGGGAAACUGGGUCUAAUACCGGAUAGGACUCCGGACUGCAUGGUCUGGGGUGGAAAGCUUUUGCGGUGUGGGAUGGGCCCGCGGCCUAUUAGCUUGUUGGUGGGGUGAUGGCCUACCAAGGCGACGACGGGUAGCCGGCCUGAGAGGGUGACCGGCCACACUGGGACUGGGAUACGGCCCGGACUCCUACGGGAGGCAGCAGUGGGGAAUAUUGCACAAUGGGCGGAAGCCUGAUGCAGCAACGCCGCGUGAGGGAUGACGGCCUUCGGGUUGUAAACCUCUUUUAGCAGGGAAGAAGCGAAAGUGACGGUACCUGCAGAAAAAGCACCGGCUAACUACGUGCCAGCCGCCGCCGUAA
RNAcentral lists this ribosomal RNA (478 nucleotides) under uncultured bacterium. RNAcentral's name for it is "partial 16S ribosomal RNA". It matches the Rfam family "Bacterial small subunit ribosomal RNA", at positions 28 to 523 of the family's 1533-position model. The record is from RNAcentral.